Molecule: long non-coding RNA, 2062 nt
Organism: Lagopus muta (rock ptarmigan)
Lineage: Eukaryota; Metazoa; Chordata; Aves; Galliformes; Phasianidae
Exons: 3
Source: RefSeq, a predicted model, not a curated record
ACCCUUUGGAGGAUUCCCAAGGAAAGCGCGGAUCUGAGCGAGCGCAACAAGGAGGGGAGGCACCUGCGGAGGAAGGCGGCUACAGACCCCAUCGCGCAUCCCCGGACCGACCCCGUCUGGGUACCGCGGUGUUGGUGUCACGCGCCCACACACUCAUCUGCCCUUCAUGGUCGUGGGAGUAACCGAGAUCGCUUCUCCAUCGCCUGGCACGUGGGUGUAAGGUUUGGGCAGGCAGUCUUAGCGAGGUGCGUUACAGUCGGUACCUGGUUAGUGGGCAUGUGCGUGCUGCCAGCAGCAGGUGUAGCCCCUCCUGCAAGGACCGACGUACAGCGUGAAUUUGCAGCCUGCGAAGCCAAGACUCAUGAUGUAAAUAGAUGCCAGUUCUUUAUCUGGGGCGGUGUUUUGCCAAUACGCACACGCACCAUGAAUAUGAUUUCUUCUUAUCAUUAAAGUAAUUGAUUGCGGAAGGAAAACCCACACAUACCAACACUGCAUACCAGUCAAGUUUGGCAGGCUGCGCUACUGUAUGCUUCAACUUCACUUGCAGCUGAGCUUUUAAAGGGCCGUUUUUGCAGCUCACAAGUGAAGGAGGAGAAAACGAAUGAAACACAAGGAGGUAGCUCCUUUAACCAUUUCAUGCCUUGUCUGGCUCUAGACAGUAAGACAACAGUCUGGGCAUUAAAUAGAUCCAAUCUUGUCAAUACUACUGCUUCAGCUUAUUAAGCACUACUGUUGUUUGAAUUCCUGCAACUAAGGGGUUCUCCAGGGAUCUGCACUGGGACCAGUGCUCCUCAACAUCUUUAUAAAUGACUUGGGCUGAGUGGUGCAAUUGAUACAACAGAAGGAAGGGAUGCCAUCCAGAGAGAACUGAACAAGCUUGAAAAGUGGGCCCACACGUACUGAACUGAGAUUCAACAAGGCUAAUCACAUGUGGAACAGUUCCAGGUACUUAUACCGACUGGGAGAAGAAUUCACUAAGAACACUCCUGCAGAGAAGUUCUUGGGGUUCUGGUGGAAUGAACAGUUGAAUAUGAGUCAGCAAUGUGCACCUGCAACCCAGAAGGCCAACAGUAUCCUGGGCCCACCAGAAGAGAGUGGCCAACAGGGACAGGGAAGGGAAUGUCUGCCUCCUCUCUGCCCUCAUGAGUCCCCAUCCAGAGUAUUGCAUUCAGGUUGGGGGCCCCCAGCAUAGCAAAACUGUGGAACUUUUCAAAUGGGUGCAGAGGAGAACUACAAAGAUGAUCAGAGGGAUGGAGCACCUCUCCUGUGAGGACAGGCUAAGGAAGUUGGGCUUGUUCAGUCUGGAGAAAACAAGGAGGUGGGAGACCUCACUGCAGCCUUCUGGUACUUAAAAGGGAGAUUAUAAACAAGAGGGAGACUGACUUUUUACACAUGCAGAUAACGACAGGACAAGGAGAAGUGGUUUUAAACUUAGAGGGGAGAUUUAUGUUAGUUAUGACAAGGGUCAGUGAUGAAUCACAUGAACGGAUUUCCCAGAGAAGCUGUGGAUGUCCAAUCCGUGCUGGUGCUCAAGGCCAGGUUGGAUGGACCCUUGGGCAGCCAUGUCUGGAGGAUGGCAAACUGCCCAUGGCUGGGGAUUGUAACUAGAUGAUCUUUGAGGUCCCUUCCAUCACAAGCCAUUCCAUGAUUCUGUGAACUAACAAACUUACUGUAUACAAUCACACAAAUAGGUAUUUUCCAAUCUUUCCAAUCAAGAGAUGAAAAAAAGGGUCAUCAAACCAAGUACCAGUGAAAGCAGAAAAAACAAAAAACAAACAAACAAACCCCCCUCCCCACCCCCCCCCCCCACACACAGACAAAACCAACAAUCAGUGAACAAACAAACAAAACAAACAAAAAACACACAAUCAAAAUAAAGCAAAGAAAAUAAAGCAUCUUGGAACACAUCACAGUUUCCCAGAUCUGGCUUGCUUGGAUGGUAGCAGCUGUUGGGGGGUCUUGCAUACAGUGCAGUAGAAACCAUGCUUUCAUUCUCUAUUUAUUUCCUAUUCCCCACCUUCCACAUGCGUCUCAAACCGUGGUCCUAAUGAUCGCUUUCUCC